UACGUAGGGUGCAAGCGUUAAUCGGAAUUACUGGGCGUAAAGCGUGCGCAGGCGGUUUUGUAAGUCUGUCGUGAAAUCCCCGGGCUCAACCUGGGAAUUGCGAUGGAGACUGCAAGGCUAGAAUCUGGCAGAGGGGGAUGGAAUUCCGCGUGUAGCAGUGAAAUGCAUAGAUAUGCGGAGGAACACCGAUGGCGAAGGCAAUCCCCUGGGCCUGCACUGACGCUCAUGCACGAAAGCGUGGGGAGCAAACAGG
RNAcentral lists this ribosomal RNA (253 nucleotides) under uncultured bacterium. RNAcentral's name for it is "partial 16S ribosomal RNA". It matches the Rfam family "Bacterial small subunit ribosomal RNA", at positions 524 to 776 of the family's 1533-position model. The record is from RNAcentral.